GCUCGUCGGAAGCAAGGAAUAAAUUGUAUGGUUGCGUGGAUCGUCUCAUGUAUCCUGUGUUUUUUCCACUCGACAGAAUACCACUGGGACAAACAGCGGUCACAACCUGGGUCAUCCUCUGCACCUUCAGCAAGAUGGGUGGUCAUCUGAUCAGGACCCAUUACGUCCUUGGUGUGGCAAGAUUUUGAAAUGCUUUACAGAGAAGAAGACAAUUGUGGAGGCAUGUUGCAACUUGCAAACAAAAGGCUUGAUUGAGCAUGAUGGUGCUGCGGUACAACCACGGCUAUUCUGUAUGUUGAUGAAAAUGAGUAAUAUUCGGAGCUAGGUUGUACCCUUUCCUUUUUAGGGUUUUCUUAGACUGAGUUUUUACCUAGAAAGGUUUUUAAUGAGGUAGCCAAAAUAUCAAUAAAGCUCAAUAUUUAAUUUCAA
Molecule: long non-coding RNA, 429 nt
Organism: Phragmites australis (common reed)
Lineage: Eukaryota; Viridiplantae; Streptophyta; Magnoliopsida; Poales; Poaceae
Exons: 3
Source: RefSeq, a predicted model, not a curated record